Long non-coding RNA from Sander lucioperca (pikeperch), 976 nucleotides. RefSeq lists it as uncharacterized. NCBI's taxonomy places the organism in Eukaryota, Metazoa, Chordata, Actinopteri, Perciformes, Percidae. The transcript is spliced from 3 exons. The record is from RefSeq and is a predicted model, not a curated record.
GGUGUUUCUCAAUGUCAAGGAAGGAUCCUUCGAAGCCAGAAUUUCGAGGAUGCUACGUCAUCAACGUCCGUCGAAGGACUGUUCCAAUGUCGAGGAUCCUCCGAAUUCCACCAAGGACUGAGUCCUUCGUUCGGAGAUUUUCCCAUAGACAGCAAAGGAUGCAGAUGUGUAUCCUUCGCGCUCUCAUAUUACCCACAAUCCUAUGCGCGCGGCUUUGCCGGCUUGUUAAAAAAAAUUAAAUGGCGGACCUAAGCGGAGCCGGAGUGACGGGGCAAUAUGCUUUUAUAUGGACUAAAGAACAAACAGAGACAUUUAUACGUCUCCGUUUAGGCAGCAAGCAGCUGUUUACCGGGGGGAGGGACACCGCGGCGAACGGUUAUCGGCUUAUUUUGGAGAAGAUGGGGAUCGGAGGGAGGGUCACCCACGCCCAGGCCAAGAAGAAGUGGGACAAUUUAAAAAUGAAGUACAAGGUGGAAGAUAUUGUAGUUUGGGGUAUUAAUAUGUAUGGACAUAAUUGUUAUGCAUAUUUUAAUGUAACUUGUGAUUUUUGAAGUAAGCUUUGGAUGUAAACCUGACAGACUUGGGCCUGCUGACAGUAAGUUUAGUGUUGUGUACAAUAGUAGUAAUACAUCAUCACAACAACCUUUUAAUCUUCACUGUUUAGGAAUGCAAGUGUCCUGCAACAGGUCAGGGGACAGAGGAUGGGAAGGCAACGGCAGCAACUUGGCCCUGGUUUGCCCUCAUGGACAAGGCAUUAGGGCAGUCUGCGGCAGUCUCGCCCCCCUGCCUUAUUGCCUCGAUCCAAGAGGACAAACCAGGGCCAAGCACUGCACAAGAGGUAGAGGAAGGGAGAGACGAGGAGGAGGAGGAGGAGAAGAGAGACAGCAGCAAAGAGAGAGCAGGGAACAGAGGAGAGAAGAGGAGAAGGGAGAGAGAGGAUCCAUUCCUCCAACUCCUCAAGGAGGACAUUAAAUAU